GACGAACGCUGGCGGCGUGCUUAACACAUGCAAGUCGAACGGAAAGGCCCUGCUUGCAGGGUACUCGAGUGGCGAACGGGUGAGUAACACGUGGGUGAUCUGCCCUGCACUUCGGGAUAAGCCUGGGAAACUGGGUCUAAUACCGGAUAGGAGCCAUUUUUAGUGUGAUGGUUGGAAAGUUUUUUCGGUGUAGGAUGAGCUCGCGGCCUAUCAGCUUGUUGGUGGGGUAAUGGCCUACUAAGGCGGCGACGGGUAGCCGGCCUGAGAGGGUGGACGGCCACAUUGGGACUGAGAUACGGCCCAGACUCCUACGGGAGGCAGCAGUGGGGAAUAUUGCACAAUGGGCGCAAGCCUGAUGCAGCGACGCCGCGUGGGGGAUGACGGCCUUCGGGUUGUAAACUCCUUUCGCUAGGGACGAAGCUUUUUGUGACGGUACCUAGAUAAGAAGCACCGGCUAACUACGUG
Molecule: ribosomal RNA, 465 nt
Filed under: uncultured bacterium
Lineage: Bacteria
Description: partial 16S ribosomal RNA
Rfam family: Bacterial small subunit ribosomal RNA
Source: RNAcentral